This 329-nucleotide unclassified non-coding RNA is filed under the name soil metagenome. Its description in RNAcentral is "partial contains 5.8S ribosomal RNA, internal transcribed spacer 2, and large subunit ribosomal RNA". The stretch from base 1 to 120 matches the Rfam family "5.8S ribosomal RNA", at positions 35 to 154 of the family's 154-position model. The record is from RNAcentral.
GAUGAAGAACGCAGCGAAAUGCGAUAAGUAAUGUGAAUUGCAGAAUUCAGUGAAUCAUCGAAUCUUUGAACGCACAUUGCGCCCCUUGGUAUUCCGAGGGGCAUGCCUGUUCGAGCGUCAUUAUAACCCCUCAAGCUCAGCUUGGUGUUGGGGCCUGCUGCACUGGCAGCCCUUAAAAUCAGUGGCGGCGCCAUCUGGCUCUAAGCGUAGUAAUUCUUCUCGCUAUGGAGUCCUGGUGGAUGCUUGCCAUCAACCCCCAAUUUUUCUAUGUUUGACCUCGGAUCAGGUAGGGAUACCCGCUGAACUUAAGCAUAUCAAUAAGCGGAGGA